UACGUAGGGUCCGAGCGUUGUCCGGAAUUACUGGGCGUAAAGAGCUCGUAGGUGGUUUGUCGCGUUGUUCGUGAAAACUCACAGCUUAACUGUGGGCGUGCGGGCGAUACGGGCAGACUAGAGUACUGCAGGGGAGACUGGAAUUCCUGGUGUAGCGGUGGAAUGCGCAGAUAUCAGGAGGAACACCGGUGGCGAAGGCGGGUCUCUGGGCAGUAACUGACGCUGGAGGAGCGAAAGCCGUGGGGAGCGAACAGG
Molecule: ribosomal RNA, 255 nt
Filed under: uncultured bacterium
Lineage: Bacteria
Description: partial 16S ribosomal RNA
Rfam family: Bacterial small subunit ribosomal RNA
Source: RNAcentral